Molecule: RNA transcript, 1477 nt
Organism: Andrographis paniculata
Lineage: Eukaryota; Viridiplantae; Streptophyta; Magnoliopsida; Lamiales; Acanthaceae
Exons: 5
Source: RefSeq, a predicted model, not a curated record
UCCGAUUUGCGACUUUAACAGAAAUGGCGACAAAAUCGCUAUUGUUCCAAACCACGAUUUCAGAUCUGAAGCAUCUCCAAUGGCGUAGCAAUGCCAAUGCGCUCUGCCGCCUGACAUUCGCGCGACCUCCUCUUCUUCCUCAUCAUACUUCUCUUCUUCCUCGUUCUCCUCCUCCGCUGUACCGUCGUCUUCAUCUUCCUCAUUCUCCUCCUCCGCUGUACCGUCGUCUUCAUCUUCCUCAUUCUCCUCCUCCUCUGCUCCGACACCGUCUACGCACUCUAUUCUCUACUAUGUCCUCGAUGAACUCGCCGCAGGAGGAGGCCUCUGUCAAAACAGUGAGAAUGGUGAUAAGGGGGAGAGUGCAAGGUGCGUCGGAUCUAUCGGAAUUGGACGAUUGAUAAUGCGAAGGAGUUAGGGUUGAAAGGUUGGGUUCGGAACCGCCGGGAUGGAUCUGUGGAGGCGUUGUUUUCGGGAGAUGGAGCAGCGGUGUAGGAGAGGUCUUCCUGAUGCUAUGGUGACUGGGAUUCAGGCAUUUCAUUUCCGAGCACGGAUGAUCCUGGGAAUGAAUUCGACUGUGUGAAUGAAUGAAUCAGCGAUUCUGAUCAGUAAAGGAACGCAACUCCCAAAAGUAGCUGUCGGCGCAGGAAGGAUGUUGCCAAGGCCUGCAGUGCCAGCCAUCGAAGACUUCUCUAACGAAUUCUUCUACUUCAGGCAGAGGGCAAUCCAGUAGCGUUGUUCAGGGUUUAGGGAAACCGACAGGAUUACGAAUGCCUUCUCCCAAAAUCGGGUUCUUGAUGGGGUGAAAUCAUCCCCUCGCACUCCCAAUGGUUUGCGCACUGUGUCACCCAAAAAUGGAGCUGCUGCAAGCAGCAGUCCAGUUCGAUAAAAAGGUAUUGCUGGAAUAAGCUUCAGCAUAUCGGCGGAUUUAAAGAAAAAACUUUCAGCAUAUCGGUGGAUUCAUAUUUCAAGGUAUGUUGCUUUUAUUAUUUGAGAAAGUUGAUAUCAUAUUUGAAAAAAAAAAUGUGGCAAUUUAAAGCUGGUAUUACUCCCCCCAUCACGCAAAAAAUUAGUGCAUUUUUUGCGAGGGAGGGAGUAAUAUUUUUUGGGCUGGCUUGGGCUGUUUUAAAAUUCAGGUCCGAUAGGUUCGGCCUGAUUUUGCAUUGGGCUUGAAAACCCAAACCAAGGCAUGGCCCGGUUUCAAAUUACACCGGGCAAGCUUAGCCCAACUCAGAUUUUUAAUAUUAGAUUUUAAAAAUAAUAUAUCAUAUUUUAUUAAAUAAUAAAUUAUAUUAAUCUAAAUUGAUAUAAUUAGGACAAAGUAUUUUAUUGAUAAUUAAGAAUUUAAACAUUAAUUAAUUAUUAAUUUUAUUAUAUAGAUAAUUUAUAUUAAAAAUUAUUUUUUCUUAAAAUAUUUUAAUCAACUAGACACUGCUAGGCACGUCAUAAUUUGCAUAGGCCUCAAACCAAGUUUGGUUAU